GAUGAACGCUGGCGGCGUGCCUAAUACAUGCAAGUCGAGCGAACGGACGAGAAGCUUGCUUCUCUGAUGUUAGCGGCGGACGGGUGAGUAACACGUGGAUAACCUACCUAUAAGACUGGGAUAACUUCGGGAAACCGUAGCUAAUACCGGAUAAUAUUUUGAACCGCAUGGUUCAAAAGUGAAAGACGGUCUUGCUGUCACUUAUAGAUGGAUCCGCGCUGCAUUAGCUAGUUGGUAAGGUAACGGCUUACCAAGGCAACGAUGCAUAGCCGACCUGAGAGGGUGAUCGGCCACACUGGAACUGAGACACGGUCCAGACUCCUACGGGAGGCAGCAGUAGGGAAUCUUCCGCAAUGGGUGAAAGCCUGACGGAGCAACGCCGCGUGAGUGAUGAAGGUCUUCGGAUCGUAAAACUCUGUUAUUAGGGAAGAACAUAUGUGUAAGUAACUGUGCACAUCUUGACGGUACCUAAUCAGAAAGCCACGGCUAACUACGUG
Molecule: ribosomal RNA, 497 nt
Filed under: uncultured bacterium
Lineage: Bacteria
Description: partial 16S ribosomal RNA
Rfam family: Bacterial small subunit ribosomal RNA
Source: RNAcentral